Molecule: long non-coding RNA, 467 nt
Filed under: Sus scrofa (pig)
Lineage: Eukaryota; Metazoa; Chordata; Mammalia; Artiodactyla; Suidae
Description: lncRNA (ENSSSCG00005027296.1)
Source: RNAcentral
CCCCCUCAGCCAGCUGGGCAGUGACGGCCUCUGGAGCCAGGAGCCCACGGUGCGGCCCCUAAAAAGACGAAAAAAGAGGAAAAGAAAACGACCAAAAACACGAGCAGUAAACCAGGAGAUCGUUCUCAGCCUGGAGCUGGAGGAGCCUGGAGCAAACCCUUCCUGCAGGCCACCUCCCAACCCAGGCCCACUUGGGAUGCUCCUGUCCAGCCUGGGCCAAAAGGGCUCUAAGCCACUAGCUGGGCCACAUCAGAGGCACCCAGAGGGACUGGCCUGGCCCCCAGCCCCCAGGCUCUGUUGGAAGCUCCCCCGUGUGGGCAGGAGGAGGCAGAUGCAGACGUGCACCUGACAGAGAGGGGACGGGGGACCAGCCCUGGCGGAAGACUGGGCAGCAGCACAACGGAGGGCCCACCCCACCCGCCCCAGGUCACCAGCGCCCCAGGCCACCCGGACCAAACAGCACAACA